Long non-coding RNA from Sebastes umbrosus (honeycomb rockfish), 483 nucleotides. RefSeq lists it as uncharacterized. NCBI's taxonomy places the organism in Eukaryota, Metazoa, Chordata, Actinopteri, Perciformes, Sebastidae. The record is from RefSeq and is a predicted model, not a curated record. The transcript has 2 exons.
GUCCUGUUUCCAGACAUGAAUACAUCAGCAGACCGAUCUACAGUCUUACUUUGUACAGUGCUGGUCUGACUGGCUGUCUGAGGUCCAGGUCUUGUUCUGGUCUGACUGGCUGUCUGAGGUCCAGGUAUUGUUCUGGAUCUGGACAUCAGCUCCUCCUUCUUCUCUCUGUGGAGACAUUACUUUAUUACUAAAAUGAUUUGCUGAUUGUUGGUGAAGAAUAUCAAGACCUGGCCGAUAACGUCUAGAAGCUCAGAUGGUCACAGAGAAGAGUUCAAGUGUUGUUACUUUUCUGUUUGGAUUCAGCAUUCAGUCUGUGAUGAAAAUGUUCCUUUAUUUUAACUCUCCUGCUUUAAUAAACAAGAAUUAGCUGUUUUUCCUGUCUGACUGUCUUAUUGAACAUUUAGUGAUCUGACUGAAGUUUGUCUAUUAAAGAGGAACAACGGCCAUUUUUAAAACAUUAAUAUCAUUUUGGAGGCUAAAUAA